Molecule: ribosomal RNA, 392 nt
Filed under: uncultured bacterium
Lineage: Bacteria
Description: partial 16S ribosomal RNA
Rfam family: Bacterial small subunit ribosomal RNA
Source: RNAcentral
AUACGGAGGAUCCGAGCGUUAUCCGGAUUUAUUGGGUUUAAAGGGUGCGCAGGCGGCCAUUUAAGUCAGCGGUUAAAUUGUGGGGCUCAACCCCAUUCUGCCGUUGAUACUGGGUGGCUUGAUUGCGGUCGAGGUUGGCGGAAUUCGUUGUGUAGCGGUGAAAUGCAUAGAUAUGACGAAGAACACCGAUUGCGUAGGCAGCUGACCAGACCGCAAAUGACGCUCAUGCACGAAAGUGCGGGGAUCGAACAGGAUUAGAUACCCUGGUAGUCCGCACAGUAAACGAUGAAUACUUGUUUUCGGCGAUAUAAUGUCGGAGGCAAAGCGAAAGCGAUAAGUAUUCCACCUGGGGAGUACGCCGGCAACGGUGAAACUCAAAGGAAUCGACGGGG